RNAcentral lists this ribosomal RNA (253 nucleotides) under uncultured bacterium. RNAcentral describes it as "partial 16S ribosomal RNA". It matches the Rfam family "Bacterial small subunit ribosomal RNA", at positions 524 to 776 of the family's 1533-position model. The record is from RNAcentral.
UACGUAGGGUGCGAGCGUUAAUCGGAAUUACUGGGCGUAAAGCGUGCGCAGGCGGUUUUGUAAGCCAGAUGUGAAAUCCCCGGGCUUAACCUGGGAAUGGCAUUUGGGACUGCAAGGCUGGAGUGCGGCAGAGGAGACUGGAAUUCCUGGUGUAGCAGUGAAAUGCGUAGAUAUCAGGAGGAACACCAAUGGCGAAGGCAGCUCACUGGGACGUUACUGACGCUGAGACGCGAAAGCGUGGGGAGCAAACAGG